GUUUUCAGAAGUUUCUUCUAAAGUGAACACACCCCUCCCAGCUCCGCGGCCCAGCAAUUGCACGCUCGGGGUAUUUCUCUAGGGAUGAAAACAGACGUCGCCACGAAGACUUGUACACUGAGGUCUGGCUCACCGCUGCCCCAGGACGCACCGCGGGGACGGGGACAAGCAGGUGCCGUCACGCUCCGUGGACAACCACGCUACUUUUCCGUAGCAACAAGCUGCCGACAGGCGCCGCCGCGGCUGAACCCCGGAGGCCGAGCCAGACGCGAAGGAAUAGGGCCAAGGCACCUACGCCCCCAGCUGCCGGGAGACUGUCGCCGAUGGCUCCCUGCCGAGUGCCUCACUAGGAAUCAUCCCGGACCAAAGGGAGCAGCCACCCUACCCCUGCAUCCAGUGAGGGUCAUCCCAGCUGCACAGUCCCUGGAGCCGAAGAGGCAGAAAUAUUAAGUAUCGUGUACAAGGCCACCCAAGAAAGCAUUCACGCCCUGCGUCGUCCCUGUCUGCCGGCCAUGAACCACGUCGUCUCCCGGGGACCGGGGAGCCGGAAGGCCACAUUGGGGUGCUCUGAAUGAAGGUCAAGUGAGACAACGUGUGCAAAGCACUGGGCAUGCGGAGGACCCGUGAGUUACCAUCACCCUUGUUCCCCCUUCCCCAUGACCUUGCAAAUGUCUGCUCGGAGGAGGGCCUGCCAGGGCCAGAGGCCAGGUCUCCGGAAGGGGCUCCCAAGGCUCGCUAGGGUUGCGAUUCCGGCUCCUGUCCUGCGACCCCGCCGCCCGCGCCUGAAUUUAAGGGCUCCACAGGAGAAGAGCGAAACUCUGGGGAAGAGGGAGGACGGCACAGAGCCAGUGCUUCGGGAAGUGGUGUCUCAGCCCAGCGGUGAGCCAGCUUGCUGGGUGCGACUUCCGUUUGUCCUUGAUCCGAACAUCCGCCCCCUUCACCCCAAUCCCCUAUCUUCACACUGUUCCCUCCAUUCCCUUUAACCUGAAUUUGACCCCACCUUGUCAAGAACUUCACCCCGACCUUCCCUGGUACAACCAGUUUAACAGAGAGGCACCACUGCAAUUUUUGGUCCUCGAAGGUCAAUGGGCAACAGCGGUUACGCCUUCUAGUAUUUACUUAGCACCGACCACGUGACUGAGCACGUGGCUUCCACAGGCGAGCCCGAGCUCACACGGUGGCCUGGCCCAGAGCCUCGGGAUGACGACCAGGGAGGGGAUGACGAUUUUGUAGCAAGCGGCAAUGGCAGGGGGAGGGGCGGAGGUGAGGCGAGCUCAGCAGGACCGUCCUCGAGGGUAGGUAGGGUGGGAGUCGUUGGGCAGGCCCGCUUGGGGACAGCAGCACCAAAGCAGCAAAGCAGAGCAGCUCAGGACGUCCAGGGCCCGGCACGCGUCCAGGGGCACGGGAGCCACGCGACUGUGGCGAGCGGUCCUUAGGAACGCCCGACGGGAACGGUAAAGCAUUUAGGCCGCCUCCCGCAGGCAGGGGGCGACUCGAGGCCGUGGGGCCAGCACGAGGCCCGGGGACACAUCGAGGUCGGGCCCGGACUGAGGCCCGAGGGCCUGAGGAGCGUUGCGGAAGACUGAGGAACACGGUCGCUCGGGAAGCGGGAGUUGUAGUAACGGAAGGACGGGCCAAAACUCAAGACCACUUUUUCAUUUUUUAAAUCAAACACUUUAUUUUCCACAUAACAAGCGCAAAAAACUCCCAAACACUUUAACAAUACAAUUAACGCAGUUAUGAAUUCAAUUAUAGGUACUACUCAGAGCCCCAAAAGGUCAAUCAGCUUAACGUUCCAAACAUUUCCAAACGUGGUUUUUCAAAGCUACCUUUGGUUUUUGGAAAAACCAGUAUGGAAGUCAAUAUACACUGAAUGCACUGAACAUUCGCUCAGAGGAAGGGGUCCAGUGGCAGCUCACACCCGGCAAGCUGGAGCGCGAUUUGGAGUCCUCCACGGAAAUACACGCGCAGGUUUGCCCCCGAGCUCCCGCGGCCGGGACAGAGGGCCGUGAAGGGGGGAGAAAAAGGCCAGUCCAGGUUGUGGCGUUUCUCGUUUUGUAACAGAGGUAUGAGUUUGACACUAGAACACUGUCAAGUCAUUAAGCUUCAUGUUCCAAACGGUCUCUUGCUGAGGCUUGAGGUGGGCACAAAUGGUGGGGAAGAUGAAGUCACAGAAGAGCUUUGAGCAACCAGAUCCCAAAGAUGCUCAAAGAGGGUAGGGAGGAGCAAGCUACAGUUUCCCAUUGUUCUCACAUUAUUUCAGGGUGAAAUUGUGGAGAAGUUCGGAUAGAAUGUUCAAAUAUUUGCUUAGAUUUUUUACUCGGUUGCUCUAUGAGGACCCUCAUACACAGCAACGUUGAAACGUUCAUUGUAAAAAAAGAGCGUACAAAUAAAUUCACAAAAAAGAGA
Molecule: long non-coding RNA, 2409 nt
Organism: Felis catus (domestic cat)
Lineage: Eukaryota; Metazoa; Chordata; Mammalia; Carnivora; Felidae
Exons: 4
Source: RefSeq, a predicted model, not a curated record